AAUGUCAACGUGUGGACCUGGAUGUUUCCCGAACUUUCCCAAUAAGCUGUGAAAAAGCAGUGAUUAUGGGGUCGUAAACGCACCCGGUUCGGGUUGAUGUGGUGAUUUGAGGCCCGAUGAAGAAAACUAGAGUGGUCAGCAGUUGGCGAGGGAAGACAAUGCAGCAGCACUUUAACCAGUGCAUGGCUUCUGCGGAAAAUAUAAAACAAGUCUGAAAUCUGGGAAUGCUGCAACCCUCUCGGCACCCCCAGCUCCUCUAACGAUUCACAGAGAACUCAGCUUGGUUUGGUCGUUCUUGAUUUCAUUACACUAAAUAAAUAAAUAAACAAAUAAACAAC
Molecule: long non-coding RNA, 338 nt
Organism: Pygocentrus nattereri (red-bellied piranha)
Lineage: Eukaryota; Metazoa; Chordata; Actinopteri; Characiformes; Serrasalmidae
Exons: 3
Source: RefSeq, a predicted model, not a curated record